UGCAGUCGAACGGCAGCACGGGNGCAAUCCUGGUGGCGAGUGGCGAACGGGUGAGUAAUACAUCGGAACGUGCCCAAUCGUGGGGGAUAACGUAGCGAAAGCUACGCUAAUACCGCAUACGAUCUACGGAUGAAAGCAGGGGGUCGCAAGACCUUGCGCGAGUGGAGCGGCCGAUGGCAGAUUAGGUAGUUGGUGGGGUAAAGGCUCACCAAGCCUUCGAUCUGUAGCUGGUCUGAGAGGACGACCAGCCACACUGGGACUGAGACACGGCCCANACUCCUACGGGAGGCAGCAGUGGGGAAUUUUGGACAAUGGGCGCAAGCCUGAUCCAGCCAUUCCGCGUGCAGGAUGAAGGCCUUCGGGUUGUAAACUGCUUUUGUACGGAACGAAAAGCCUUUUUCUAAUACAGGAAGGUCAUGACGGUACCGUAAGAAUAAGCACCGGCUAACUACGUGCCAGCAGCCGCGGUAAUACGUAGGGUGCAAGCGUUAAUCGGAAUUACUGGGCGUAAAGCGUGCGCAGGCGGUGAUGUAAGACAGAUGUGAAAUCCCCGGGCUCAACCUGGGAACUGCAUUUGUGACUGCAUCGCUGGAGUGCGGCAGAGGGGGAUGGAAUUCCGCGUGUAGCAGUGAAAUGCGUAGAUAUGCGGAGGAACACCGAUGGCGAANGCAAUCCCCUGGGCCUGCACUGACGCUCAUGCACGAAAGCGUGGGGAGCAAACAGGAUUAGAUACCCUGNUAGUCCACGCCCUAAACGAUGUCNACUGGUUGUUGGGUCUUCACUGACUCANUAACGANGCUAACGCGUGAANUUGACCGCCUGGGGAGUACNGCCGC
RNAcentral lists this ribosomal RNA (836 nucleotides) under uncultured bacterium. RNAcentral's name for it is "bacterial SSU rRNA". It matches the Rfam family "Bacterial small subunit ribosomal RNA", at positions 56 to 889 of the family's 1533-position model. The record is from RNAcentral.